This 486-nucleotide ribosomal RNA is filed under the name uncultured bacterium. Its description in RNAcentral is "partial 16S ribosomal RNA". It matches the Rfam family "Bacterial small subunit ribosomal RNA", at positions 30 to 507 of the family's 1533-position model. The record is from RNAcentral.
AUUGAACGCUGGCGGCAUGCCUUACACAUGCAAGUCGAACGGCAGCACGGGUGCUUGCACCUGGUGGCGAGUGGCGAACGGGUGAGUAAUACAUCGGAACAUGUCCUGUAGUUGGGGAUAGCCCGGCGAAAGCCGGAUUAAUACCGCAUACGAACUACGGAUGAAAGCGGGGGACCUUCGGGCCUCGCGCUAUAGGGUUGGCCGAUGGCUGAUUAGCUAGUUGGUGGGGUAAAGGCCUACCAAGGCGACGAUCAGUAGGGGGUCUGAGAGGACGACAGGCCACACUGGAACUGAGACACGGCCCAGACUCCUACGGGAGGCAGCAGUGGGGAAUUUUGGACAAUGGGCGAAAGCCUGGUCCAACAAUGCCGCGUGUGUGGAGAAGGCCUUCGGGUUGUAAAGCACUUUUGUCCGGAAAGAAAUCCUUGGCCCUAAUACGGUCGGGGGAUGACGGUACCGGAAGAAUAAGCACCGGCUAACUACGUG